Molecule: ribosomal RNA, 253 nt
Filed under: uncultured bacterium
Lineage: Bacteria
Description: partial 16S ribosomal RNA
Rfam family: Bacterial small subunit ribosomal RNA
Source: RNAcentral
UACGUAGGGGGCAAGCGUUAUCCGGAUUUACUGGGUGUAAAGGGAGCGUAGACGGCAUAGCAAGUCUGAAGUGAAAGCCCAAGGCUCAACCAUGGGACUGCUUUGGAAACUGUUAAGCUAGAGUGCUGGAGAGGUAAGCGGAAUUCCUAGUGUAGCGGUGAAAUGCGUAGAUAUUAGGAAGAACACCAGUGGCGAAGGCGGCUUACUGGACAGUAACUGACGUUGAGGCUCGAAAGCGUGGGGAGCAAAUAGG